This 84-nucleotide transfer RNA is filed under the name Physcomitrium patens. RNAcentral describes it as "Physcomitrella patens tRNA". It matches the Rfam family "tRNA". Rfam says of the family: Transfer RNA (tRNA) molecules are approximately 80 nucleotides in length. Lineage: Eukaryota; Viridiplantae; Streptophyta; Bryopsida; Funariales; Funariaceae. The record is from Rfam by way of RNAcentral.
GUCAGCAUGGCCGAGUGGUCUAAGGCGCCUAACUCUAGUUCUGAACUUCGUUAUGGGGCGAGGGUUCGAACUCCACUGCUGACA